This 1318-nucleotide ribosomal RNA is filed under the name Staphylococcus aureus. RNAcentral's name for it is "partial 23S ribosomal RNA". It matches the Rfam family "Bacterial large subunit ribosomal RNA", at positions 141 to 1461 of the family's 2925-position model. Lineage: Bacteria; Bacillati; Bacillota; Bacilli; Caryophanales; Staphylococcaceae. The record is from RNAcentral.
UGUCAUGUUAUCGAUAUGUGAAUACAUAGCAUAUCAGAAGGCACACCCGGAGAACUGAAACAUCUUAGUACCCGGAGGAAGAAAAAGAAAAUUCGAUUCCCUUAGUAGCGGCGAGCGAAACGGGAAGAGCCCAAACCAACAAGCUUGCUUGUUGGGGUUGUAGGACACUCUAUACGGAGUUACAAAGGACGACAUUAGACGAAUCAUCUGGAAAGAUGAAUCAAAGAAGGUAAUAAUCCUGUAGUCGAAAAUGUUGUCUCUCUUGAGUGGAUCCUGAGUACGACGGAACACGUGAAAUUCCGUCGGAAUCUGGGAGGACCAUCUCCUAAGGCUAAAUACUCUCUAGUGACCGAUAGUGAACCAGUACCGUGAGGGAAAGGUGAAAAGCACCCCGGAAGGGGAGUGAAAUAGAACCUGAAACCGUGUGCUUACAAGUAGUCAGAGCCCGUUAAUGGGUGAUGGCGUGCCUUUUGUAGAAUGAACCGGCGAGUUACGAUUUGAUGCAAGGUUAAGCAGUAAAUGUGGAGCCGUAGCGAAAGCGAGUCUGAAUAGGGCGUUUAGUAUUUGGUCGUAGACCCGAAACCAGGUGAUCUACCCUUGGUCAGGUUGAAGUUCAGGUAACACUGAAUGGAGGACCGAACCGACUUACGUUGAAAAGUGAGCGGAUGAACUGAGGGUAGCGGAGAAAUUCCAAUCGAACCUGGAGAUAGCUGGUUCUCUCCGAAAUAGCUUUAGGGCUAGCCUCAAGUGAUGAUUAUUGGAGGUAGAGCACUGUUUGGACGAGGGGCCCCUCUCGGGUUACCGAAUUCAGACAAACUCCGAAUGCCAAUUAAUUUAACUUGGGAGUCAGAACAUGGGUGAUAAGGUCCGUGUUCGAAAGGGAAACAGCCCAGACCACCAGCUAAGGUCCCAAAAUAUAUGUUAAGUGGAAAAGGAUGUGGCGUUGCCCAGACAACUAGGAUGUUGGCUUAGAAGCAGCCAUCAUUUAAAGAGUGCGUAAUAGCUCACUAGUCGAGUGACACUGCGCCGAAAAUGUACCGGGGCUAAACAUAUUACCGAAGCUGUGGAUUGUCCUUUGGACAAUGGUAGGAGAGCGUUCUAAGGGCGUUGAAGCAUGAUCGUAAGGACAUGUGGAGCGCUUAGAAGUGAGAAUGCCGGUGUGAGUAGCGAAAGACGGGUGAGAAUCCCGUCCACCGAUUGACUAAGGUUUCCAGAGGAAGGCUCGUCCGCUCUGGGUUAGUCGGGUCCUAAGCUGAGGCCGACAGGCGUAGGCGAUGGAUAACAGGUUGAUAUUCCUGUACCACCUAUAAUCGUUUUA